CAAAGUCAAGUCACGGGAGGGCAGACUACUGGAAGCACAAUAAUACUGAUAGUGCCGUAAAUCCAGAGCAGAGCUACAUUAAAGCGAUGACAUCCCCUGUGAAAGCGGGCUUUCACAGAUUUGAGAUUCAGAAAACAACUUGGGAUGUCCCCGACAGAUACACGUCUUUACAACCCAUUGGGUCGGGUGCCUACGGAACGGUGUGUUCUUCUAUUGACCAGAAGAACAAAGAAAAAGUGGCCAUAAAGAAGCUUUAUCGUCCAUUUGAAUCAUUGAUUUUUGCAAAAAGGGCUUACCGUGAAGUCAAACUGCUCAGGCAUAUCCAACAUGACAACGUGAUCUCCCUCUUGAAUAUCUUCACACCUGAUUCCACACUGGAGAAGUUCCAGACUUUUUACAUGGUAAUGCCCUUUGUGGCCCAGGACCUUGGUCACAUCAUGAAGAAAAAGAGACUGACAGACCGAAUUAUCGUCUAUCUAUUCUAUCAAAUACUACGAGGGCUAAAGUACAUCCAUUCUGCUGGAAUUAUCCAUCGGGAUCUCAAACCUGGGAACCUGGCUGUCGAUGAAAAUUGUGAAUUAAAGAUCCUGGAUUUUGGUUUGGCUCGCCAGACAGAGACUGAGAUGACCGGGUAUGUGGUGACCCGCUGGUACAGAGCUCCAGAGAUCAUCUUCAACUGGAUGCACUAUAGUCAAACAGUGGACGUGUGGUCUGCAGCAUGCAUUCUGGCUGAGAUGAUCACUGGCCAGGUGCUCUUUCCUGGCAGUGAUAGCAUCGAUCAGCUGAAGAAGAUCCUGAAAGUGACAGGAACCCCUCAGCCCUCCCUGAUCCAGAAGAUGCAGAGUGAAGAUGUACUCUUCCUUACUGUUCCGCACGCUCAUAUGUGCAGUCCCUACCCCUUCAAAAGAAGAAAGAUUUCAGGGAGGUCUUCUCCUCCAUGGAUUCUAAAGCGGUGGACAUGCUGGAGGCCAUGUUGCUGUUGGACCCUGAGACCAGGAUGACUGCAGCAGAGGGCCUCUCCCACCCUUACCUAUCUGAGUUCCAUGACCCAGAGACCGAGCCAGAUUCCCCCCUUUAUGAUGACUCUUUUGAGAGCCUGGAGUUGGACACAAGCGAGUGGAAGAGUCUUAUCCACAUGGACAUAAUGACCUUUGACCCCAACAACCCCAGGGAGACUGCAACAUAGCACCACAGUACGGCUGCACUUUUUACUGUAAUAGGUUACGUCUAUUUUUUUUUCAGGAUGAGUUUAAGGAAGACAGUACAGUUUCUAGAUUAUGCCAAUCUAUUCCUGUCAUGUUUUCUAUCUGACCUUUUGAGAUGCUGUAACACAUUAUACCUAGAAGCAUUACACACAUGGUCCUUGAGUCCAUCUGUUUGAAACCACAUGACAAACUGAUGUGAUAGUGACAUAUGAAACAUUCAAUAUAGUCAUACAGUAUUUUUUUAUUUAAAGCUAUAAUUGUCUCUUUCUCAGACCAAAAGACCAGCAAGAUAUUGAAUAGAUGUAAGAUAUAUAAAACAUAUGGCUAUCAUGUGUUUGAAGUGACUUUACUUGCCAGCCACAAUGUAGAGAGAAUAUGUUACAAGUGUGUCAUUGUCAUGUGUCAUUUAUUUGUUGCAACCACAAGAUGUCACUGUUUUCUAUAGGCAGUGAAGUUAUGUAAAGAAAGGACAGGGGAGCCUAGCAUGAUACAGUAUAGCUUGUCAAUUGUGAUCCAUCAAUGAUAAAGCAUCUACACUGAACAAUGUGGAAUAAUCUGAAAUUAAAUGGUUUGAAUAUAAA
Molecule: RNA transcript, 1786 nt
Organism: Sardina pilchardus (European sardine)
Lineage: Eukaryota; Metazoa; Chordata; Actinopteri; Clupeiformes; Clupeidae
Gene name: STKc_p38 domain-containing protein
Exons: 12
Source: RefSeq, a predicted model, not a curated record